CAGCAUGCUGAUGCCAUCCCUUCUGGUCUCCAUGACACAAGCUCCAGUGCUCCGCUCCCCCGCGCCCCCUUCAGGAAAGCCAGUGGGCACCUUGAGGUUGGGACUCAGAGCCCAUAAUCUGCUUUGUCCCCUUAACCCUAAAUAUUAGUGAGUUUUAAAUAGCCUCUGAGCCCCAGCUGUCCUUAGAAGCCCCGUCCGCAGUGAUGUUUGGACCCUCCGGGCAGCGAGGGGGGCCGGGAAAGCUCUGGGCAGCCUCCCCCGGCUUGCAGUGGGCACAUGGCAGGGUGACAUCACCUCCUCAUGCUUCCAGGUGAGCGCCGGGGCGGGGGUGGGGCCCAGCCAGGGUGGGGAGAUGGGUUUGUAGCCUUGGGUUCCCCUCCCGCUGCAUCUUGACUCAGUUGCUCCAAACAAACGGAAGAUUUGCUCUUGGCACCAACAACUACCUUAACCCAUGCUCUCAACCUCUGUGGCAGAUGCAGGGCAAGGAGCAGAGCAUGGGGGGUAGAUCUUGGGCGCGAGGCCACCCAGCUGAUGAGAGCUAAGGGCCCUAACUCACUGUACCCAGCACCCCCCCCCCCCCCAGCUGAUCAGGAGUCCUGGUGAUUACUCGGGGAGAUGACAGUUCGACCACCGUGCAGACCUUCGGACCGACUUGAGAGAAGGUGAGCUGAGGUCAUUGGGCAUUUUGGAGUUGGGAGCAGUCUGGACGUCCCAGCUACCAGGCAGCCUUGUCUGUCCCCAGAGCACCGGGAGUGACCCAUGUAACACGGGCCUGCCUGUGCCAGGCUGGCCAGGGCUACAGACUUAUCACCCUGCUCUCUCCUCUCCCCUCCUCCUCCUCCUGCACCCCACGAGCAUCCAAGGGCCUGGGCAAAAGCGCCAGGUAUAGCACCCAGCACUCAGUAAGUGCCCAACAGCUGUCUUGUAAGUGUUUCCACUCGGUUUGGAGUAAACCGAGAGGAAGCCAUUAGACUGGGCCUCUGGGUACACUAAUCCGUGGACCCCUCUGUCUUCCCCUGGAAAAGUGAGGGCACGGACAGGCUCUGGUUCGUUUCUGAACCCCCAGUGCCUGAUCACAGUAGGUGCUCAGUGAACAUUAGAUCCACGGACUCCCUAACACAGCCCCAGAUACACAGAGAAGCGCGCCCCCUCCUCCGGGAGACGCCACUGUUCUGGCACCUGCUCCUCGCAGCCCCGCACUGGCCAGGCCUCCCGGGGCGGCCCUCCAGCGCCCACCCACCCCACCCCAGGCCUCCCUGCUCACUUUGUUGAAGUCAAAGGUCUCAAACAUCUGCUCCACAUACUGGCUGGUGGACGGGCUCAGGUUCUUGAGGCCGAAGAACUGGCGGAACUCGUAGAGGGUGAGCUGGCCGGAGGGGCACUCGGUCAUGAACUUCUUGUACCACUGGUGGCACUCGGUGCUGCUCAGCUCCUCCACCGACUUACCAUCCAUCACGUUGCCCAUCUCCCAGGCCCCACCUGUGGCCGGCGCCCAAGGUGGAUGGAUCCUGCUCCCCGCUGCCCCUGCACAAGGGAGGCUCGGCUUUCUAACAGCAGGCCCUCCUCGCUCACAGCCCGGAGUGGUCCAGAGCUGAGCAAAGAAGAUCUGACGAAUCAGACAGCACAGGAGGAGGGCCGAAUAGGUGGCUGUUCUGAUCCUGUGACCUCCAUUCCCUUCUUCUCCUGUUUUCAGUGGGCUCUCAAUGUUUUUGGUUCCUGCCCUCCGACAUGGAAUUGAGACACACCCUCCUCCGAGAACCUUUCCGAAUCUCAGCAGAAUUCAUUUUUCUUGCCUCGGCGCACCGAUGGUUUGCUGAUGUGUUAUAAUAGCUUUCUAGGCUGCUUAAACACUACCACAGAGUCCGUAGCUUCAAACUCUACACGUUUAGGGGCGCCUGGGGGGCUCAGUCGUUAAGCGUCUGACUUCGGCUCAGGUCAUGAUCUCAUGGUUCGUGGGUUUGAGCCCUGUGCCAGGCUCUGUGCUGACAGCUCGGAGCCUGGAGCCGGCUUCGGAUUCUGUGUCUCCCUCUCUCUCUGCCCCUCCCCCGCUCACACUCUGCCUCUCUAGCUCAAAAAUAAACAUUUUUAAAAAUUAAGAAAAAAUCCUACAUGUUUAUUAUCACACAGUUUCUGUGGGCCAGGAGUCUGGCUCUGUGCUGGCUUUCACUGGGUCCUCUGCCCCAGGUCCCAAAGGGCUGUGAUCAUGGUGUCAUCUGGGGUGCGUUCACAUCUGGAGGCUUGACCGGGGAAGAAUCCACUUCUGCCUCAUUCAGCGUGUUGGCAGAAUUCAUUUCCUGGGUAUAGGACUGAGGGCCCUGGCUUCUUGCUAGACAUUAUCUGGAGCCCACUCUCGGUUACUAGAGGCUGUCUGCAGUUUCUAGGACUUUCCAAAGUUCCUUAUUACACAGGCUCCUCAGUGUGGCUGCUUAUUUCAUCAAGCCGGCAAGGAGAAUCUCUCUCCAAUCUGCUAAAAUGGAAGCUUAUAUUGUGUAACUAACCAAGGAAAUGCCAUCCUGUUACCUUUGCCACACUCCGUGGGUUAGUGGUGAGUCACAGAUCUCAGCCACGCUCAGAGGAGGAUUGUGCCAAGGCGGGUACAGCAGGAGGUGGAAGUCAUAGGGGUCACCACAUCUAGGACAAUGUUCACCGUUCUUUAUUAUUAUUAUUAUUAUUAUUAUUAAACAUUUAUUUAUUUUUGAGAGACAAAGACAGACAGAGCAAGAGUAGAGGAGGGGCAGAGAGAGGGAGACACAGAAUCGGAAGCAGACUCCAGGCUCCGAGCUGUCAGCACAGAGCCCGACGCGGGGCUCUCACUUACGGGACUCGAUCUCACGAACUGUGAGAUCAUGACCUAAGCUGAAGUCGGACACUUAACUGACUGAGCCACCCAGACGCCCCAACAAUGUUCACACUUCUAUUUAUAACAUACAUGAGGUUCAUUGAUUUCUCAAAUUAUACGCAGCUGUUUAUUGUCAGCCUGUCGUCAGGAACUCGGGGUGGAGGCCUCUGUGUUAUUCAUCUCGCGCACCCUCCCAGCACCUAGUGCCAACGAUUCCACAUGGUCAUGCGCUGGUUAUCCCGUUGGCCCCAUCCCCACCCAUUCUCCACCUUCCUCUGUGUGCUCUGAGUGCCAGGAGGCUGACCCCUGUGGACUGGAUCACUCGGGCUCCCCGGGGCCUCUGGCUUCUGGCAGGUCAUCCCCUGGGAAGCAGUGGAAGGAGACUGGCUAGUAGGAAAAGAGAAGAGUCUGGGCGUUUGCUCCCCACCCUCCCUGCUGGGUCGUAGUUUGAGCCCUGAUUCCUUCUACCCUCAGCCACAGCUCCCACGAAAGCCUUCUCUCAGCUGCGGUGACAAAGCCACCUCCCUGUACCUCUCAGGCUUAGAAGUAGGAAGGGCUUGCCUCUGUGGCCACUCUCUGGCCAUGUCACCAGCCCUCAACUGUGCCCACUUCUCUGUAAACAUGCUCCUCAGUACCUUUGUGAAGGUAACACUUGACUGACGGACUUGAGCCCAAUAAAACACUGAGUGCGGGGCGCCUGGGUGACCCAGUCUGUUAAGCGUCUGACUUCGGCUCAGGUCAUGAUCUCACGGUUCAUGGGUUCGAGCCCCACAUCAGGCUCUGUGCUGACAGCUCGGAACCCGGAGCCUGCUUCGGAUUCUGUGUCUCCCUCUCUUUCUGCCCCUCCCCAACUUGUGUGCUCUCUCGCUCUCUCUCAAAAAUAAAAACAUUUAAAAAAUUAAAAAAUAAAUAAAACACUGAGUGAGUGAAUGCGUACAUGCAUGACCGAAGGAAGAAUUCAGUAAGGCUAGAGUAGGGUGGAGCUGUCAUCCAAUGUCUACUGUGUUCAAGGCAGCACGCUAAGCUUGUGGAAUCGGCUUACAAUAGCCCUGUGGGGGUGGUAUUAUUUCCACGUGACACGAGAGGAAGUGGGGACAGAAAAGUCAUUGUGAGGUCCACAGAAAUUCAAAGUGGUGGUACCAGAGUUUUCUACCUCAUCACCAGGCUUUUGGCUUAAGCCUUUAAAUCUCGAGGGUCCAGCUGGAGGGCCCCUCGAGCCCCUACUCCAGCAUCUUCCCUGUGGCCCUUCUGCCUGGAAAAUUCCAGCGACGGUGAGCUCAAUCCCUUUGGAGGUGGCCCAGACCCAGGAUGGGAAUGGAACCCCCCAGCCUCCCAAUCCCAGAGCCCAGCUUCUCCCUCUUCCAUGGCCUCUCUCAGUCUUGCUCUCCAUUCUUCU
Acinonyx jubatus (cheetah) is the source of this 4235-nucleotide long non-coding RNA. RefSeq lists it as uncharacterized. The transcript has 3 exons. Lineage: Eukaryota; Metazoa; Chordata; Mammalia; Carnivora; Felidae. The record is from RefSeq and is a predicted model, not a curated record.